Etheostoma spectabile (orangethroat darter) is the source of this 96-nucleotide long non-coding RNA. RefSeq lists it as uncharacterized. Lineage: Eukaryota; Metazoa; Chordata; Actinopteri; Perciformes; Percidae. The record is from RefSeq and is a predicted model, not a curated record. The transcript has 3 exons.
UUUUAAUGUUUGUCUAGGCACACCUACCUGUAUCUACUGUGUAGGAUUCUUGUGUUGUGUUGUUCUCAUGCCAUCAACCUGCCAGUUGUCAUGACC